UUAAGCGACUAAGCGUACACGGUGGAUGCCCUGGCAGUCAGAGGCGAUGAAGGACGUGCUAAUCUGCGAAAAGCGUCGGUAAGGUGAUAUGAACCGUUAUAGCCGGCGAUGUCCGAAUGGGGAAACCCAGUGCAAUUCGUUGCACUAUCGUUAACUGAAUACAUAGGUUAACGAGGCGAACCGGGGGAACUGAAACAUCUAAGUACCCCGAGGAAAAGAAAUCAACCGAGAUUCCCCCAGUAGCGGCGAGCGAACGGGGAGCAGCCCAGAGUCUGAAUCAGCUUGUGUGUUAGUGGAACGGUCUGGAAAGUCCGACGGUACAGGGUGAUAGUCCCGUACACCAAAAUGCACAGGCUGUGAACUCGAAGAGUAGGGCGGGACACGUGGUAUCCUGUCUGAAUAUGGGGGGACCAUCCUCCCAAGGCUAAAUACUCCUGACUGACCGAUAGUGAACCAGUACCGUGAGGGAAAGGCGAAAAGAACCCCGGCGAGGGGAGUGAAAAAGAACCUGAAACCGUGUACGUACAAGCAGUGGGAGCACCUUCGGGUGUGACUGCGUACCUUUUGUAUAAUGGGUCAGCGACUUAUAUUCUGUAGCAAGGUUAACCGUAUAGGGGAGCCGCAGGGAAACCGAGUCUUAACUGGGCGUUAAGUUGCAGGGUAUAGACCCGAAACCCGGUGAUCUAGCCAUGGGCAGGUUGAAGGUUGGGUAACACUAACUGGAGGACCGAACCGACUAAUGUUGAAAAAUUAGCGGAUGACUUGUGGCUGGGGGUGAAAGGCCAAUCAAACCGGGAGAUAGCUGGUUCUCCCCGAAAGCUAUUUAGGUAGCGCCUCGUGAACUCAUCUUCGGGGGUAGAGCACUGUUUCGGCUAGGGGGUCAUCCCGACUUACCAACCCGAUGCAAACUACGAAUACCGAAGAAUGUUAUCACGGGAGACACACGGCGGGUGCUAACGUCCGUCGUGAAGAGGGAAACAACCCAGACCGCCAGCUAAGGUCCCAAAGUCAUGGUUAAGUGGGAAACGAUGUGGGAAGGCACAGACAGCCAGGAUGUUGGCUUAGAAGCAGCCAUCAUUUAAAGAAAGCGUAAUAGCUCACUGGUCGAGUCGGCCUGCGCGGAAGAUGUAACGGGGCUAAACCAUGCACCGAAGCUGCGGCAGCGACACUAUGUGUUGUUGGGUAGGGGAGCGUUCUGUAAGCCUGCGAAGGUGUGCUGUGAGGCAUGCUGGAGGUAUCAGAAGUGCGAAUGCUGACAUAAGUAACGAUAAAGCGGGUGAAAAGCCCGCUCGCCGGAAGACCAAGGGUUCCUGUCCAACGUUAAUCGGGGCAGGGUGAGUCGACCCCUAAGGCGAGGCCGAAAGGCGUAGUCGAUGGGAAACAGGUUAAUAUUCCUGUACUUGGUGUUACUGCGAAGGGGGGACGGAGAAGGCUAUGUUAGCCGGGCGACGGUUGUCCCGGUUUAAGCAUGUAGGCUGGUUGUCCAGGCAAAUCCGGAUAAUCAAGGCUGAGGUGUGAUGACGAGGCACUACGGUGCUGAAGUAACAAAUGCCCUGCUUCCAGGAAAAGCCUCUAAGCAUCAGGUAACAUUAAAUCGUACCCCAAACCGACACAGGUGGUCAGGUAGAGAAUACCAAGGCGCUUGAGAGAACUCGGGUGAAGGAACUAGGCAAAAUGGUGCCGUAACUUCGGGAGAAGGCACGCUGGUGUGUAGGUGAAGCCCCUGCGGGUGGAGCUGAGACCAGUCGAAGAUACCAGCUGGCUGCAACUGUUUAUUAAAAACACAGCACUGUGCAAACACGAAAGUGGACGUAUACGGUGUGACGCCUGCCCGGUGCCGGAAGGUUAAUUGAUGGGGUUAUCCGUAAGGAGAAGCUCUUGAUCGAAGCCCCGGUAAACGGCGGCCGUAACUAUAACGGUCCUAAGGUAGCGAAAUUCCUUGUCGGGUAAGUUCCGACCUGCACGAAUGGCGUAAUGAUGGCCAGGCUGUCUCCACCCGAGACUCAGUGAAAUUGAACUCGCUGUGAAGAUGCAGUGUACCCGCGGCAAGACGGAAAGACCCCGUGAACCUUUACUAUAGCUUGACACUGAACAUUGAGCCUUGAUGUGUAGGAUAGGUGGGAGGCUUUGAAGCGUGGACGCCAGUCUGCGUGGAGCCAACCUUGAAAUACCACCCUUUAAUGUUUGAUGUUCUAACGUUGGCCCCUGACCGGGGUUGCGGACAGUGUCUGGUGGGUAGUUUGACUGGGGCGGUCUCCUCCCAAAGCGUAACGGAGGAGCACGAAGGUUAGCUAAUCCUGGUCGGACAUCAGGAGGUUAGUGCAAUGGCAUAAGCUAGCUUGACUGCGAGCGUGACGGCGCGAGCAGGUGCGAAAGCAGGUCAUAGUGAUCCGGUGGUUCUGAAUGGAAGGGCCAUCGCUCAACGGAUAAAAGGUACUCCGGGGAUAACAGGCUGAUACCGCCCAAGAGUUCAUAUCGACGGCGGUGUUUGGCACCUCGAUGUCGGCUCAUCACAUCCUGGGGCUGAAGUAGGUCCCAAGGGUAUGGCUGUUCGCCAUUUAAAGUGGUACGCGAGCUGGGUUUAGAACGUCGUGAGACAGUUCGGUCCCUAUCUGCCGUGGGCGCUGGAGAAUUGAGGGGGGCUGCUCCUAGUACGAGAGGACCGGAGUGGACGCAUCACUGGUGUUCGGGUUGUCAUGCCAAUGGCACUGCCCGGUAGCUAAAUGCGGAAGAGAUAAGUGCUGAAAGCAUCUAAGCACGAAACUUGCCCCGAGAUGAGUUCUCCCUGAGACUUUAAGUCUCCUGAAGGAACGUUGAAGACGACGACGUUGAUAGGCCGGGUGUGUAAGCGCAGCGAUGCGUUGAGCUAACCGGUACUAAUGAACCGUGAGGCUUAACCUU
RNAcentral lists this ribosomal RNA (2901 nucleotides) under Klebsiella pneumoniae. RNAcentral describes it as "bacterial LSU rRNA". It matches the Rfam family "Bacterial large subunit ribosomal RNA". Lineage: Bacteria; Pseudomonadati; Pseudomonadota; Gammaproteobacteria; Enterobacterales; Enterobacteriaceae. The record is from RNAcentral.